RNAcentral lists this ribosomal RNA (253 nucleotides) under uncultured bacterium. Its description in RNAcentral is "partial 16S ribosomal RNA". It matches the Rfam family "Bacterial small subunit ribosomal RNA", at positions 524 to 776 of the family's 1533-position model. The record is from RNAcentral.
UACGGAGGGUGCAAGCGUUAUCCGGAUUCACUGGGUUUAAAGGGUGCGUAGGUGGGCAGGUAAGUCAGUGGUGAAAUCCCCGAGCUUAACUUGGGAACUGCCAUUGAUACUAUUUGUCUUGAAUACUGUGGAGGUUAGCGGAAUAUGUCAUGUAGCGGUGAAAUGCCUAGAUAUGACAUAGAACAUCAAUUGCGAAGGCAGCUGGCUACACAAAUAUUGACACUGAUGCACGAAAGCGUGGGGAUCAAACAGG